GCCGCUGAUAGUGGAAAGACGAAGAAGACGCGGCAGAGCUCAGUCUGUCGCGCUCUUCCUCGAUGGGAACACUGGAGACUUUAAUGGUCACUUUGAACACCACGUCCUGAUUGGCCCUGAUUCCAUAGAGGUAAGUCUGGAGCCUCGUGUUCUCAGCUCUGCAGACUGUGAAGGCAGCCACAGUUUGAAAUAUCCUGCAGAACCAAGGUGUUGUAAUGAAGGUUGACCACUGGAGGGCGGUGAACCCCUUGAAUUGAAGUCAGAACUAUGCAUUGACACCUCGGAGGGUAAAAAAACGAAAUAAAGUCAACAUUUGACAUUAAGAGCGAUUUAAAUGAGUCCAGUAAUAGGAGUGUAGGAUCAGGGAUGUUUUACUCUAAGCAGAAUUAAAGAACUUAUUUAUCGUUUGUGCUGAAGCGAAGCGUCAAUACAUCCUGUUAAACUUCAUUGGAUGUCGGUACUAUGUCAAGUUUUCUACUUCAAGUGCAACAUCACUAUACAUAGGGAAAGAUGGCGUCAUUCUUCUUGUGACCCAAAAGGGAACUUUAUUGUUUUGAUAAGAUUUCUAGCAGUAUACUUUUCCCCCCUUCAAGCUGAUUGGGUUUGAAUCUAUGUGGAUUUAAACAGUUUCUCUCCCCUGAUGACUUGCACUGGGCUCUGACUCUGAAUGGAGAUAAAGUGCAUCUUUAGCCCUGACAAGCCAGAGUUUCUGAGGAGACACUAAACCAGUGAUGGUCCAGUGUUAGAGUUACAAGACAUUAACACCUUCUUUGGUCCCUUUUCAGGUCCUCAAACCAGUGACAUCACUGCUCGUCUGGACUUGAAUAAGGUUCGUGUCUUAACUGUGUUUCCAGCAGACGCUCUCAACGCAUGUCUGAAGUGAUGUUUAGCACUGGGCUCUGAAAAUCAGUGGUGACAAAAGUGCAACGCUGCCCUUGACAAGGCAGAAUCUGAGCAGAUGAUGGUGCAAACAUUUGAGGAUUGUGAUGUUGAGUUGUUUGUGACGGUGGUUUUACUCUUUUUCAGGUACUGAUCCUCAGACACGGACAUCAUCUGCCUGUUGUCUCUCUUUCAUUGUGUAUAUAUGUUUUAAAGAAUUCUCAUCUUUGCUCUGACUUUCAAAUAAAACUCUGAAUUUUAAAUGUUUAGAUUCUGCUCUUUUCUACAAACGUCACACUAGAGUAAGGAACAGUACAUUAUUGAAAUGUGAACCACGUAGUGAGUUUAUUGGGUGUAAAUUAAAUGACAAAUCUCAGUCAUCAACAUAAGGUUUGAGAAAGUAACUUUGAACACUUUCACAAUGGGAACAAUAUUAACUGAAUACAGAAUAUAUGGUAAGAGUAUCAUGUGUUAAUGUUGCAAAGAAAGCUGUAUUUUAUAACAUCUUAA
Molecule: long non-coding RNA, 1389 nt
Organism: Pleuronectes platessa (European plaice)
Lineage: Eukaryota; Metazoa; Chordata; Actinopteri; Pleuronectiformes; Pleuronectidae
Exons: 2
Source: RefSeq, a predicted model, not a curated record